UGGGGAAUUUUGGACAAUGGGCGAAAGCCUGAUCCAGCAAUGCCGCGUGUGUGAAGAAGGCCUUCGGGUUGUAAAGCACUUUUGUCCGGAAAGAAAUCCUUGGCUCUAAUACAGUCGGGGGAUGACGGUACCGGAAGAAUAAGCACCGGCUAACUACGUGCCAGCAGCCGCGGUAAUACGUAGGGUGCAAGCGUUAAUCGGAAUUACUGGGCGUAAAGCGUGCGCAGGCGGUUUGCUAAGACCGAUGUGAAAUCCCCGGGCUCAACCUGGGAACUGCAUUGGUGACUGGCAGGCUAGAGUAUGGCAGAGGGGGGUAGAAUUCCACGUGUAGCAGUGAAAUGCGUAGAGAUGUGGAGGAAUACCGAUGGCGAAGGCGAGCCCCCUGGGCCAAUACUGACGCUCAUGCACGAAAGCGUGGGGAGCAAACAGGAUUAGAUACCCUGGUAGUCCACGCCCUAAACGAUGUCAACUAGUUGUUGGGGGAUUCAUUUCCUUAGUAACGUAGCUAACGCGUGAAGUUGACCGCCUGGGGGAGUACGGUCGCAAGAUUAAAACUUAAAGAAUUGACGGGGU
RNAcentral lists this ribosomal RNA (573 nucleotides) under uncultured bacterium. RNAcentral describes it as "partial 16S ribosomal RNA". It matches the Rfam family "Bacterial small subunit ribosomal RNA", at positions 355 to 919 of the family's 1533-position model. The record is from RNAcentral.